AUUGAACGCUGGCGGCAGGCCUAACACAUGCAAGUCGAACGGUACCAGGAAGAGGCUUUCUUCUUUGCUGACGAGUGGCGGACGCGGGAGUGAUGUCUUGGAAACUGCCUGAUGGAGGGGGAUACCUACUGGAAACGGUGGCUAAUACCGCAUAGCGUCGCAAGACCAAAGAGGGGUACUUCCAUGCCUCUUGCCGUCACUUGUGCCCAGAUGGGAUGAGCUAGUAGGUGGGGUAACGGCUCACCUAGGCGACGAUCCCUCGCUGGUCUGAGAGGAUGACCAGCGACACUGGAACUGAGACACGGUCCAGACUCCUACGGGAGGCAGCAGUGGGGAAUAUUGCACAAUGGGCGCAAGCCUGAUGCAGCCAUGCCGCGUGUAUGAAGAAGGCCUUCGGGUUGUAAAGUACUUUCAGCGGGGAGGAAGGGAGUAAAGUUAAUACCUUUGCUCAUUGACGUUACCCGAAGAAGAAGCACCGGCUAACUCCGUG
RNAcentral lists this ribosomal RNA (490 nucleotides) under uncultured bacterium. RNAcentral's name for it is "partial 16S ribosomal RNA". It matches the Rfam family "Bacterial small subunit ribosomal RNA", at positions 30 to 507 of the family's 1533-position model. The record is from RNAcentral.